RNAcentral lists this ribosomal RNA (254 nucleotides) under uncultured bacterium. Its description in RNAcentral is "partial 16S ribosomal RNA". It matches the Rfam family "Bacterial small subunit ribosomal RNA", at positions 524 to 776 of the family's 1533-position model. The record is from RNAcentral.
UACGUAGGGGGCAAGCGUUGUCCGGAUUUAUUGGGCGUAAAGAGCUCGUAGGCGGUUGGGCAAGUCACGUGUGAAAUCUCCACGCUCAACGUGGAGGCGCCACGUGAGACUGCCCUGACUCGAGUCCGGUAGGGGAGCGUGGAAUUCCCGGUGUAGCGGUGAAAUGCGCAGAGAUCGGGAGGAACACCCGUGGCUAAGGCGGCUCUCUAGUACGGUACUGACGCUGAGACGCGAAAGCGUGGGGAGCGAACAGG